This 551-nucleotide ribosomal RNA is filed under the name uncultured bacterium. Its description in RNAcentral is "bacterial SSU rRNA". It matches the Rfam family "Bacterial small subunit ribosomal RNA", at positions 355 to 896 of the family's 1533-position model. The record is from RNAcentral.
UGGGGAAUCUUCCGCAAUGGGCGAAAGCCUGACGGAGCAACGCCGCGUGAGUGAAGACGGCCUUCGGGUUGUAAAGCUCUGUUAUACGGGACGAAUAAUCUUGUGGUUAAUACCCAUGAGAAGUGACGGUACCGUAAGAGAAAGCCACGGCUAACUACGCGCCAGCAGCCGCGGUAAUACGUAGGUGGCAAGCGUUGUCCGGAAUUAUUGGGCGUAAAGGGCGCGCAGGCGGCUUCUUAAGUCUGUCUUAAAAGUGCGGGGCUUAACCCCGUGAUGGGAUGGAAACUGGGAAGCUCAGAGUAUCGGAGAGGAAAGCGGAAUUCCUAGUGUAGCGGUGAAAUGCGUAGAUAUUAGGAGGAACACCAGUGGCGAAAGCGGCUUUCUGGACGAAAACUGACGCUGAGGCGCGAAAGCCAGGGGAGCGAACGGGAUUAGAUACCCCGGUAGUCCUGGCCGUAAACGAUGGGUACUAGGUGUAGGAGGUAUCGACCCCUUCUGUGCCGGAGUUAACGCAAUAAGUACCCCGCCUGGGGAGUACGGCCGCAAGGUUG